CUGGUCUCGAACUCCUGACCUUGUGAUCCCAAAGUGCUGGGAUUACAGACGUGAGCCACUGCGCCUGGCUCCUUUUGUAUAUUUUGGUAUGCAUGGAGAGGUGUUUAUUGCCUGAACAUGGAGCCCAAAUUACCUGCCCCCACCCCCCACACUGGUCAGCACUGGAGCUCUGGUGCCAAGCUGACCUCUGGGAUCAUUUUGUGGAUUCUCAAGGGCUGUGAGGGGAAAACAUUUCAAAUUAGGCAGGAUGCCCAGUAACUAGGAGCACUUGGAAUCUCCAGCCUCACAAACACAACCACGUCUAAAUGAGAUUCAAAGAGAGGAAAAAUUACCCUCCAUGAAUAUCCCUUGAAAUUGCCCAGCAGAGAAUACUCUGGAGCGGCACGUGGAUGCAUCCCGAGUUCUUUGGAAGGAGGAUGUGAAGAGUGCCCAGGCUGGCACCCCCUGGAUAGUAUAGCACAGGCAGUGUGGAGCCUGAUGAAGCACAGGCAGGCGCGAUGUGGACAGCAGCACGGACGUCCGGCCGCCCAAGUGUCCCCUCGCCUUUCAACCGCAAAUCCCACUGUCAAUGCUGCAGACAGACACGGUUCACUCCAUAAGAUCACCCGUGAAAUGGGAGCGCCUGACCACAUGCCUGGAAAUGUGAAAGGAUAAUUCUCACCACUGUGAGCGGCUCCUAGCACUGUUCAUGGGAACCAUUUGCCUGUAAACACAGACGUUAGAACACAUCCUUCUUGGCAUAUGGCAGGGUAUCAAUCAGCAAAUCAGUCAAAAUACAGAAUUCUAAGGAUAAAUGAAUAAGAUCAUGGAGGCUUGCUGUAUUCAUCUUUUGGGGCUGACAAAAUGCCAUCACCUGGGGCAGGAUGUGUUAAACAACAUGUUUAUUCUCUCAUUAUCUGGAGGCUGGAAGUCCAAGAUCAAGGUGCCAAUAGGUUGGUUUCCCCUGAGGCCUCUCCUCCUGGCUUGCAGACAGCAAAGGUGCUGUGUCCUCGCCUGGCCUUACCCUCUGUGCAUGCAUCCCUGGUGCCACUCCCUCUUAUUAUAAGGAUGCCAGUCCCAUUGCAUUAGGGCCCCACCCUUAGGACCUCAUUUAACCUCUGUUACCUUCUUAAAGGGCCCAAUUCCAAAUAUAGUCACAAUGGGGGUCAGGGUUUAGAGCUAUGAACCAGGAGGGGCACAGUUCAGCCCCUGACAAGCACCAACAUGCUGUCCUUCCUGGCUUGAGUGUUGGUUAAAGCUCCUGCUUGGCUUUGGCCCAUAGAAUCUCACAGAUCCCAGAAUAGAAGCUCGCCCAUCACUGCUCUGAAGCAGGGAGCCUGGGACCGAAGGCCCUGGGGUGAGAGCCUCCCCCGCGCCAGCCAUGCUGCUGGGGGUUUCUGCACCUCAUCUUUGAUCCUUGUCACACCUGCAAGACCAGGGGUAACAGUCCCAUUUGCAGAGGGUGGAACUGAAUUUCUAGGAGGUGAAGCCACUUGCCCAAGGCCACUGGGCUCAUGUGUCUGGGCCCUGGAGAUGGAGCCGGGCCAUAGACCUUCCUGGCCUUGUCCAGGGUGAGAGACAAACGCGUGACGUGCCCAUGCACCCUGUGGAUAGCAUUAAAUGGCCACGCUGAUGGGCACGGGGUGCAUCUCAGAAGCGUUUUGUGAACCAUCCUGUCUCCAAUUUGCACUUUUUGUGUACUUUUAGAAGGCAGCUUGUAAACUGCUUCCAAUGAAAGUAAAAGAAAACAAACUUCCAGCCAUCUCUUACACCUGCGUUUCAUGAAUGUCUGCUGACCUCAGCAGGAGCAAGAGUUUCUCAAGUGGGAGUGAGUUGGUCUUAGGGGAUGAGUGUGCACAGCAGGCUCUUGUGAGGCUGUUUCCAUCAUCUGCAGGAGACGGGCACAGAGGCAGCAGACAGGUACAGGCAGGAGACAGGCACAGGCAGGAGACGGG
This 1934-nucleotide long non-coding RNA is filed under the name Homo sapiens (human). RNAcentral's name for it is "HSALNT0170111". Lineage: Eukaryota; Metazoa; Chordata; Mammalia; Primates; Hominidae. The record is from RNAcentral.